Long non-coding RNA from Eucalyptus grandis, 701 nucleotides. RefSeq lists it as uncharacterized. The record is from RefSeq and is a predicted model, not a curated record. NCBI's taxonomy places the organism in Eukaryota, Viridiplantae, Streptophyta, Magnoliopsida, Myrtales, Myrtaceae. The transcript has 3 exons.
GGUGAAUCCGGUCGAACCGAACCGGGCGGCUCUGAUCUAAUCUCGCCUCGGCUCCAGAAAACUGGCACCACCCGCGUCAGAAGAACUCCAUCUCGGUGAACCUGGGGAGUGAAGCAGAGAAUAUUGGAAGACAGUGAUGGCAUCAUCGCUUCCCUCUGAUCACAAAGCCCAAAUCAUCGAUGGAAAAGCCAUUGCUCAGACCAUUCGAUCAGAAAUUGCCUCUGAAGUUAGCCACCUAUCUCAGAAGUAUGGCAAGGUUCCUGGACUUGCUGUGGUGAUAGUUGGUACCAGGAAGGAUUCUCAAAGCUACGUAAGUAUGAAGAGAAAGGCGUGUGCUGAAGUUGGUAUUACAUCAUUCGAUGUAGAUUUGCCUGAGCAAGUAUCCGAGGCUGACUUGAUUGACAAGGUCCACGAGUUAAAUGCAAACCCUGAUGUACAUGGUUGGUCAGUUGAUUUGUUUUUACAUGUGUCAUCUAUUGUUAUUGCUCUGUUUAUACUGUCAUCAGUUCGAAAACACUGGUUUAGAUGCCCAGUUCACAUUAUUAGCCUUUCUUAUGAUAGCUCUGCUUUACCUGUGCAAAGUUUCGAAAAUCAACUAUUAGACUGGGUUAGAUAUACUUUCUUAUGCCUGCAAAAGAAAAUUUUCUUUUGUCAGGUCAUCACUCAUAUCAUGGAAUUCUGAUUAGUAGUAAUUAGAGACU